AAGACUAUAGACCUGCGGAGUACCUGCGGAAGGAUCAUUAACGUUGGGGACUAACAAUCCCUCAGCGAGGUAGAACCCUUGCCUUUUCGAGUACCACACGUUUCCUCGGCAGGUACGCCUGCCAAUGGGGACCACAACAAAACCUUUUGUAAUAGCAGUAAACGUCUUAAAAACAAAACUUUUAAAACUUUCAACAAUGGAUCUCU
This 206-nucleotide unclassified non-coding RNA is filed under the name soil metagenome. RNAcentral describes it as "partial contains 5.8S ribosomal RNA, internal transcribed spacer 2, and large subunit ribosomal RNA". The record is from RNAcentral.